AACCCCCAGCCAGGCUGGGGGUUCCGUAAAGCUUUCAGCUUUGGGCCGUAUAUAAAAAACCCUUUUGAUUUGUUAAAACACCUUGCGGUCUGGCAACUGCAAAGGUUCAACAGGAAAUCAAAAG
Small RNA from Tatumella morbirosei, 124 nucleotides. It matches the Rfam family "STnc490 Hfq binding RNA". The record is from Rfam. NCBI's taxonomy places the organism in Bacteria, Pseudomonadati, Pseudomonadota, Gammaproteobacteria, Enterobacterales, Erwiniaceae.